AGUGAACGCUGGCGGUAGGCCUAACACAUGCAAGUCGAACGGCAGCACAGUAAGAGCUUGCUCUUACGGGUGGCGAGUGGCGGACGGGUGAGGAAUACAUCGGAAUCUACUUUUUCGUGGGGGAUAACGUAGGGAAACUUACGCUAAUACCGCAUACGACCUACGGGUGAAAGCAGGGGAUCUUCGGACCUUGCGCGAUUGAAUGAGCCGAUGUCGGAUUAGCUAGUUGGCGGGGUAAAGGCCCACCAAGGCGACGAUCCGUAGCUGGUCUGAGAGGAUGAUCAGCCACACUGGAACUGAGACACGGUCCAGACUCCUACGGGAGGCAGCAGUGGGGAAUAUUGGACAAAGGGCGCAAGCCUGAUCCAGCCAUACCGCGUGGGUAAAGAAGGCCUUCGGGUUGUAAAGCCCUUUUGUUGGGAAAGAAAAGCAGCAGGUUAAUACCCCGCUGUUCUGACGGUACCCAAAGAAUAAGCACCGGCUAACUUCGUG
Molecule: ribosomal RNA, 492 nt
Filed under: uncultured bacterium
Lineage: Bacteria
Description: partial 16S ribosomal RNA
Rfam family: Bacterial small subunit ribosomal RNA
Source: RNAcentral